This 105-nucleotide microRNA precursor is filed under the name Canis lupus familiaris (dog). RNAcentral's name for it is "mir-8834 microRNA precursor family". It matches the Rfam family "mir-8834 microRNA precursor family". RNAcentral also lists the same sequence under 1 other name. The record is from Rfam by way of RNAcentral. Lineage: Eukaryota; Metazoa; Chordata; Mammalia; Carnivora; Canidae.
AGGAGGAACAACCACAGUGGUGGGGCCAGCUCUGGAGCCCUGGAGUCAGCUCCCGCAGUUACUCCGGAGCUCUUCGUCUGCAGUGCCUGGAGGCUCUGGGGCGGG